Molecule: transfer RNA, 84 nt
Filed under: Cryomorphaceae bacterium
Lineage: Bacteria; Pseudomonadati; Bacteroidota; Flavobacteriia; Flavobacteriales; Cryomorphaceae
Description: tRNA-Leu
Rfam family: tRNA
About the family: Transfer RNA (tRNA) molecules are approximately 80 nucleotides in length. Their secondary structure includes four short double-helical elements and three loops (D, anti-codon, and T loops).
Source: RNAcentral
ACCUAGGUGGCGGAAUUGGUAGACGCGUACGCUUGAGGGGCGUAUGACCUCCGGUCGUGCAGGUUCGAGUCCUGUUCUAGGUAC